This 418-nucleotide ribosomal RNA is filed under the name uncultured bacterium. RNAcentral describes it as "bacterial SSU rRNA". It matches the Rfam family "Bacterial small subunit ribosomal RNA", at positions 355 to 786 of the family's 1533-position model. The record is from RNAcentral.
UGGGGAAUAUUGGGCAAUGGGGGAAACCCUGACCCAGCAACGCCGCGUGAAGGAAGAAGGCUUUCGGGUUGUAAACUUCUUUUAUCCAGGGACGAAGGACGUGACGGUACCUGGAGAAAAGCAACGGCUAACUACGUGCCAGCAGCCGCGGUAAUACGUAGGUUGCAAGCGUUGUCCGGAUUUACUGGGUGUAAAGGGCGUGUAGGCGGAGAAGCAAGUUGGGAGUGAAAUCUAUGGGCUCAACCCAUAAACUGCUCUCAAAAACUGUUUCCCUUGAGUAUCGGAGAGGCAAGCGGAAUUCCUAGUGUAGCGGUGAAAUGCGUAGAUAUUAGGAGGAACACCAGUGGCGAAGGCGGCUUGCUGGACGACAACUGACGCUGAGGCGCGAAAGCGUGGGGAGCAAACAGGAUUAGAUACC